GAAGACGAUGAGGAUUAACAUAAGCAGCAACCGAUCUCGGAGAAGAUGGUUUAUACCAGUUGCACCAACAAGAAUCAAAUCCUUUUCCAUCAUGUCAGAGACCCGUUCAAGCAUUGCCUCGCAAACAGAAUUUUAACCAGAUCCAAAUCAGACUCAAAUAACAAACAAAAAACAUUAGAUGUGGUUUUAUAACGGUACCUAGAUGUCAUCCACAGUGUAUCUUGUGCCGAUUAGAGAAAAACCCAGUGGAUCUUCUGACAACCCCACUGGAUCUUCUGUCGAUUGAGAGAAAAUGAACGAUUCAGGGUUAUU
This 312-nucleotide long non-coding RNA is filed under the name Helianthus annuus (common sunflower). Its description in RNAcentral is "sRNA HanXRQr2_Chr07g0295151". Lineage: Eukaryota; Viridiplantae; Streptophyta; Magnoliopsida; Asterales; Asteraceae. The record is from RNAcentral.